AAGUCGUAACAAGGUUUCCGUAGGUGAACCUGCGGAAGGAUCAUUAACACAAAAUCCACGGUGUCCAAAAUCCUUUUGGACAUUUCACCCCCUCAUUUAGCGAACCGUUUGGCCGUUGAGAGAGCGAGAUUCUCUGCUACCGACUUGCACUCUUUUUGUAAAAAGAGUGUUUAGCAAGGGGCGAGAAGGAAAGCGUUAUAGGGUGUUUUCGAAAGAAGACAUGGGCGCUUUCUGCUGCGUUUAUUCGCACUUUUUCUCUUUCAAUGUGCUCUUUUUCUUCUAAUUAACCAAACUUUUUCACCCCAUUGAAACUUUUGUAAUGAAAAUGGUCCACGAAUCGAAAGGUUUGUCGGAUUCCAAAGAAAAAACGCUUAAAACAACUCUUAGCAACGGAUAUCUUGGCUCUC
RNAcentral lists this unclassified non-coding RNA (407 nucleotides) under fungal sp. RNAcentral's name for it is "partial internal transcribed spacer region". The stretch from base 1 to 46 matches the Rfam family "Eukaryotic small subunit ribosomal RNA", at positions 1786 to 1831 of the family's 1831-position model. The record is from RNAcentral. Lineage: Eukaryota; Fungi.